Molecule: ribosomal RNA, 1209 nt
Filed under: Triticum aestivum (bread wheat)
Lineage: Eukaryota; Viridiplantae; Streptophyta; Magnoliopsida; Poales; Poaceae
Description: partial small subunit ribosomal RNA
Source: RNAcentral
AUGUUUUUCAGGAAGCAGGUGGCACAGGCUUGCAUGAUGGAGGCUGCACAGUAUGGACCUUGGUCAGAUCUUCCACCCGAACUCCUGGGCCUUGUCCUCAAGCGCCUCCCUUCCCUAGCUGACUGUGUUCGUCUGAGGGCAGUCUGUCACCCAUGGCACUCUAACAGUCUGCUGCAACCGCUUCCUCUUCCAUUCCCAUGGAUCGCCCUCCCUGAUGGAACAUUCCUCAGCAUCCCAGGAGGCGAGGUUCACCGCAUGCCUGUACCAGAUGGUGCUAGUUGCCGUGGCUCCAUCGAUAACUGGUUAUUUCUCAUGAGCAGUGAUGAUGCAUGCACAUUGAUGAACCCUUUCUCCAAGACCAUGUUGGAGCUUCCUAAUCUGGUCACAGUUUGGCAGCGUGAGGUACGCUACGAAUCUGAUCCUAAACAACUUGUGUACAAGUUGGCAGUGCCCUCACCCCUCGACCUAUCACCUGAUUCCCUUGUUGCGGCAUUGAUUAUGGAUGAUGGUAAUAUUGAUAUUGGUGCACUUUGCAUUAGCCAGCCAUCGACUGCCACUUAUUCGUUACUAGGCAAAUGGCCGCCAUUAUACCCCGCAUUUGAUGUUGCGUUCGUUGAUGGGAAGUUGUAUGUGGUGUCCGUCUAUGGCAAGCUCUUCAUCGUUGAGUUUUGCAAGAACCUUGGUAGUAAUCAAAAUAUCAAAUGCGUAAUUGAGUCUUUGCGUCAUCAGGAAGAACCAGAAUGCAUUCCUAUAGGGGUGCUGUGUACAAACAGGUCGUAUCUAGUUGAAUGUGGUGGUAGGCUCUUGAUGGUUCAACGAUUUAUUCAUUUACUGGUCCCAGGCCCUCCAACUGGUGCCAGUGGCUAUGAAAAAACUCAGACUGCUGGGUUUGUUGUCCACGAGGCCGACUUGCACUCCGAGCCUUGCCGAUGGAGAAGGAUCAGUGAGUUAGGUGGACAUGCUCUCUUUGUUGGCGAGCAUGGCUCCAAGUCUCUGCCUCAUAGAGAAUGCAGCGGAUCCCAGGAGGACUGUAUCUACUUCAUUUUGGACUAUCACCCUCUAAGGAUUUCUCCAAAUCCAUUCAACGACUGUGGUGUGUACAACAUGAGAAAUGGGAGGAUCAGACCAUUGAUGUCUCAGACUGCAGCACAUGCACAUUGUGCCGGCCAGUGGCGCCCGAGAUGGUUUUUCCCUCCAGGAGCUGUGUGA